UACGUAGGGCGCAAGCGUUAUCCGGAAUUAUUGGGCGUAAAGAGCUCGUAGGCGGUCUGUCGCGUCGGCUGUGAAAUCCCGGAGCUUAACUCCGGGUCUGCAGUCGAUACGGGCAAACUGGAGUACUGCAGGGGAGACUGGAAUUCCCGGUGUAGUGGUGGAAUGCGGUAGAUAUCGGGAGGAACACCAGUGGCGAAGGCGGUUGCCUGGAGCUUGCUGACGCUGAUGCGCGAAAGCGUGGGGAGCGAGCCGG
Molecule: ribosomal RNA, 253 nt
Filed under: uncultured bacterium
Lineage: Bacteria
Description: partial 16S ribosomal RNA
Rfam family: Bacterial small subunit ribosomal RNA
Source: RNAcentral